RNAcentral lists this ribosomal RNA (512 nucleotides) under Lestagella sp. 7 LLPDC-2017. Its description in RNAcentral is "partial small subunit ribosomal RNA 16S RNA". It matches the Rfam family "Bacterial large subunit ribosomal RNA", at positions 1811 to 2606 of the family's 2925-position model. Lineage: Eukaryota; Metazoa; Arthropoda; Insecta; Ephemeroptera; Teloganodidae. The record is from RNAcentral.
AAACAUGGCCUUUGGGAGACAUUAAAGGUCUGACCUGCCCACUGUAUAAUAAAGGGCCGCGGUAAUUUGACUGUGCAAAGGUAGCAUAAUCAUUAGUCUUUUAAUUGAGGGCUGGCAUGAACGGUUGGACGAAACAAAAGCUGUCUCAUUAUAAAUUGUGAAUUUCACUUCUUAGUGAAAAGGCUAAGAUGAGUUUGGAGGACGAAAAGACCCUAUAGAGUUUUAUAUACAUUUAGUUAAGUAAUUUGGAAAAUUUUUAUUUUAAGAAAAUUUAUAUUUGGUUGGGGUGAUUAUAAAAUAAAUAAACUUUUUUUAAAUUACCAAGGAUUGUUGAAUGUAUGAUCCAUUUUUAGUGAUUAGUAGAGUAAAUUACCUUAGGGAUAACAGCAUAAUUUUUCUGGAGAGUUCAAAUCGAUAGAAAAGCUUGUGACCUCGAUGUUGGAUUAGAAAGGGGCUUAGGUGUAGCAGCUUAAACCCCAGGUCUGUUCGACCUUUAAAAUUCUACGUGAUCU